This 1294-nucleotide long non-coding RNA is filed under the name Setaria italica (foxtail millet). RNAcentral's name for it is "long non-coding RNA (SITA_LNC001277)". Lineage: Eukaryota; Viridiplantae; Streptophyta; Magnoliopsida; Poales; Poaceae. The record is from RNAcentral.
CCAAAAUUUUCUGCGCUGACCAUCACUUCUCAAGGGGAGGUUCUGACAAAACUUUCUUCUCUCACCGUCAGUUCUCCAAGGGGAAGUUCUGCCAAAAUUUUCUUGAGCAAGAACCUACCCUUUCUUGACGCACACAUACAAAUAUACACACAAAACAAAUUUUAACUUUAAGUGAAGAAGAGUACUUUGCUUCUUGUUCUUGAUGAUAGACUAGGAAAGAAGCUGCAGCAUCUGUUUAGAUGUUGUUGCUCGUCCUGUCCGAGCACCUCCUCUCUGGUUUUAUGAUCGGCUCCUCAAUCACCCGCCUUGUGCAGUCCUUCUCCGUUGUAUUCCUCUACUGGUUUUAUGUCUUCUCAGUAGCCUCCCUGUAGUUAGUUGUAAAUUUUGCAAUUAACUAAGCUUUCUCUAUAGGAUAUAAUUAAGGUAGUAACAAAGGGGUACGUAUACGUGACAAAUAAGAGUGCGAAACAGCUGAGAGUACACGAGAGGUGGUGAGACGUCACCAUGUCAAGUGGGACCUCAUCUGGAUCGAGUUUGGGGACCCGGAGCUCCAGGUCGGAAGAUGACCUGGACCUCCAGGCCCAGAUGGAGAGGAGGAGGAAGCGGAGGAAGGAGUCGAACCGGGAGUCGGCUCGGAGGUCUAGGCUGCGAAAGCAGCAGCAUCUCGACGACCUCACCUCACAGGUAUACAUAUGUGCUAUUUAUGUCCAAACAUAAGUCUAUCGUAGUUCAUGAUGGAAGCAUUGAUCCAAUGAUUUUGUCCAAUCGUCUCAAUUAUUCUACUUUUUUAUUCAUGUAGGCUUGCACUGAUGUGCAGGUGAAAAAAGCAAAACAGAUGUGAACAAAGGGCCACUUGAAAUAUCUGGCCAAACAAGCUCAAUAAUUGUACUGCCUUUUCCCUAAAGGCCCCACAAAAUCAUCUGUUGCUUGCUAGCUAAUUCACUGAAGAAAGCUAUAAAUAAAUAAAAUCCACCAUCAUGAUUUGCUCUUAUCAUUUUUUUUACCAAAGUCACCUGCAUAAAAAUGAGAAAAAGGUUAAGAGUCAUAUUGCUAAGAGGUAUAGUAUCAUGUCGUAAAACAGGUAAAGCAGCUGAAGGACCAGAACAAGCAGCUCAGCAUGGCACUAAGCAUAACCAGCCAAAACCUUGUGGCAGUGCAAGCACAAAACUCUGUUCUGCAGACCCAGAAGAUGGAGCUGGACAGCAGGCUGGGUGCCCUGACUGAGAUCCUCUGCUACAUGAACACUAUCACUAGCACCAGUGCCAGUGCUCCUACAAAUCCAGCCAUGGUGAAC